UACCAGCACCCCGAGUGGUCGGGACGAUUAUUGGGCCUAAAGCAUCCGUAGCCGGUCUUGCAAGUCUUCCGUUAAAUCCAGCUGCUUAACAGAUGGGCUGCGGAAGAUACUACAAGACUAGGAGGUGGGAGAGGCAAGCGGUACUCAGUGGGUAGGGGUAAAAUCCUCUGAUCCAUUGAAGACCACCAGUGGCGAAGGCGGCUUGCCAGAACGCGCUCGACGGUGAGGGAUGAAAGCUGGGGGAGCAAACAGG
This 253-nucleotide ribosomal RNA is filed under the name uncultured bacterium. Its description in RNAcentral is "partial 16S ribosomal RNA". It matches the Rfam family "Archaeal small subunit ribosomal RNA", at positions 474 to 727 of the family's 1478-position model. The record is from RNAcentral.